This 249-nucleotide ribosomal RNA is filed under the name uncultured Clostridium sp. RNAcentral's name for it is "partial 16S ribosomal RNA". It matches the Rfam family "Bacterial small subunit ribosomal RNA", at positions 796 to 1041 of the family's 1533-position model. Lineage: Bacteria; Bacillati; Bacillota; Clostridia; Eubacteriales; Clostridiaceae. The record is from RNAcentral.
CAUGCCGUAAACGAUGAUUACUAGGUGUGGGGGGUCUGACCCCUUCCGUGCCGGAGUUAACACAAUAAGUAAUCCACCUGGGGAGUACGGCCGCAAGGUUGAAACUCAAAGGAAUUGACGGGGGCCCGCACAAGCAGUGGAGUAUGUGGUUUAAUUCGAAGCAACGCGAAGAACCUUACCAGGUCUUGACAUCCAACUAACGAGGCAGAGAUGCGUUAGGUGCCCUUCGGGGAAAGUUGAGACAGGUGG